Molecule: ribosomal RNA, 253 nt
Filed under: uncultured bacterium
Lineage: Bacteria
Description: partial 16S ribosomal RNA
Rfam family: Bacterial small subunit ribosomal RNA
Source: RNAcentral
UACGGGGGGGGCAAGCGUUGUUCGGAAUUACUGGGCGUAAAGGGCUCGUAGGUGGCCAACUAAGUCAGACGUGAAAUCCCUCAGCUUAACUGGGGAACUGCGUCUGAUACUGGAUGGCUUGAGUUUGGGAGAGGGAUGCGGAAUUCCAGGUGUAGCGGUGAAAUGCGUAGAUAUCUGGAGGAACACCGGUGGCGAAGGCGGCAUCCUGGACCAACACUGACACUGAUGAGCGAAAGCCAGGGGAGCAAACGAG